This is a small nucleolar RNA of Acomys russatus (golden spiny mouse), 136 nucleotides long. RefSeq annotates it as small nucleolar RNA SNORA17. The transcript has a single exon. The record is from RefSeq and is a predicted model, not a curated record. NCBI's taxonomy places the organism in Eukaryota, Metazoa, Chordata, Mammalia, Rodentia, Muridae.
CCUGACCCCUAGAGGCAUUGUAGGUGUGGCUGCUGUGUCAUUUGUCCAUCAGUAGGUGGCAGAGAGGAGAGAGGAAGCUAUGUCUAUACUCAGUGUUCUGAGCUGUGAAAAUCUGAAUGGUUACUAGCCUAACACU